UGGAUCACCUCCUAACAGGGAGACAACAAAAUGUUAAAUAUUAAUUUUGUCACCUUAGGUCGAUCGGUAUCUCACAUUCUUGAUUAUUUAAGGAUUUUAUUUCCUAAGUUUUUUCUAGGUCACACCCAUUACUUUUCCUGGGCCAUUAGCUCAGGUGGUUAGAGCGCACCCCUGAUAAGGGUGAGGUCCCUGGUUCAAGUCCAGGAUGGCCCAUAUCUCUAUGUUGGGGGUAUAGCUCAGUUGGUAGAGCGCCUGCUUUGCAAGCAGGAUGUCAGCGGUUCGAGUCCGCUUACCUCCACUGAUCACCACCUCUUCAUAAUUUAUAGAAGGGAAUUGUUUUGAGUUAUGAUCAAAUUCUGAACGAAUCUAGCUUCCUAAUUGAAUCUAUUAAGAUGCUGGACUCAUUGAAUUAAUUUCAUUGUUUUCAGAGAACCUUGACAACUGCAUAGAUUAUUUUAAAGACAAUAAGCAUCUUUAAUGAUGCAGAUUUAUUAUUUGUGCGAAUGCAUUAAAUAACAAUUCUAUUAAGCUGAUGCUUCAAUUUUUGAAGUUAUUGGUCAAGCUACAAAGGGCUCACGGAGGAUACCUAGGCACACAGAGGCGAUGAAGG
Molecule: transfer RNA, 610 nt
Filed under: uncultured Prochlorococcus sp.
Lineage: Bacteria; Bacillati; Cyanobacteriota; Cyanophyceae; Synechococcales; Prochlorococcaceae
Description: partial contains 16S ribosomal RNA, 16S-23S ribosomal RNA intergenic spacer, and 23S ribosomal RNA
Rfam family: tRNA (bases 226-298)
Source: RNAcentral